This is a non-coding RNA of Paramuricea clavata, 1246 nucleotides long. Lineage: Eukaryota; Metazoa; Cnidaria; Anthozoa; Malacalcyonacea; Plexauridae. The record is from the annotation of a GenBank genome assembly.
CACGAAGUGUGUCGAAUGGCUGCGCCUGAGUCCUGUUGAAAGUGAAAUAUUAAUCCUUUGCCAUCUGGUAGUUUGCGAAGGGUUUCUACAAGAUUUUUUGCGCUUAAAGUGAAGAACUAUUGUGGAACAAGACUGGAAUAGGUAAAGAACGGUAAAGAAACGGCUGUGCUGGUAAGAACAUACAAGAGAAUGCCGAGAAUUUCGAUUAUGGCUCUGUCGCCAUUGUAGCGAAUGGCAGCUGGAAUUCAUAGUUGUUCAGCUUUCAGGAACAUUCUCUGCGUUAGUUUUACCCCUUACCGAGUCACUGUUAGUGUAGAUUGACAAGGAUGCUAUUAUGAACACUUCACUUGUCAAAAAAAAAUGAUGGGGAACCGCGAAUGCCUCGAUGUCAAGUGUCCUACAAUCUGCAUGCAGUGGGUAAGUACAAGAAUCGAUUCAACUGAUUCGAGCCUGUAUUAAAAUGAACCUUUUCUAUUUUGAUGAAAAUCUUUAGAAACAGGCAAACGGUUGCGCUGUUUUGGGCAGUAUUUGUGCACUAAUAAAACAGCAAUUAUAAAGUACAGACAUUCCAACUACUGAAGGUAAAAUUUAGGGCGAUAGUUCAGUGAAUUGAAAUCUAAUUCUUCUGGGGGAAAAUAAUAAAAAUUAAGUCUUCUGAAAUGGCAUUUCCUGUAUUUUGGGAAGAUGUUGUUAUAAGUGAUCCUAUAAAUUAAUUGCCAUAAAGUUAAACUUCGUAAAAAGGUCAAGACAGAUUUAUAUAAUAUUGCUAUAAAAAACAGUGUGUUUAUGAUUUUUUACGAUAUAAUUUUCCUGAAUACUCUGAAAAAUCUGGAGAAUAUGAUAAAAAUUGGAAGACCAGGAGAUUACAUGAAUAUUUGGGAGACUCGACCGUAAAAUUGGGAGAGUUGGAAUGUCUGAAAGUAGUUCAAAAUAUUUGUUAAUUUAAAUUAACCUUUGCCCUACAUUUUCUUUAUGCUUUAAAAAAGACGAAAUAAACCGGACAGUAGGCUUGAGUGGUUAACAGAUUUUUCGGUUUUGUUCGGUUUUCUUUUUGAAACCGGUUUUCAUUUCUCAGAUAACUAAAAAAUCGAGUGCCCUCUAUAUUUUGUGGGUGGAUUAUUACGGUACCGGUACACAUGUACAUAGGUGCAGUUUGUCACAUCACAUCUCUAGCAUUACACAAAAAUAUAUCUAUUCAUUGUAGGAACAAUGGGAUUGCAUAAGGAUGUUAAUUUGGCAGCGACAG